CCAGGGCUGCCAUCAGAAAUGUUGGGGCCCCUGACAAAGUUCAAGGUCUGGGCCCCCAGUGCCCACUCACGAGUCCGCCCACAGGGCCAUCCUUGAAUCUGCCAACAAAGAUGCAUUAUGUGUGUAGAGUGAAUGCAGAGUCUGUGUGUGUAGUCAAUGCAGUGUGUGUUUAGUGGAUGCAGUGUGUGUAAAGUGGCCAAAUGUAGAUCCGAAUCUGUUGUAAGUCCCAGAAUGCUUUGCUAGCUAUGGAUCUAUAAUUUGCAGGGCUGUAUUUAGCACACAGCAGUGUAUGUUUGUUUGAAUAUAAACAUGGUUUUGAAUGGAGUAUGUGUGUAUUUGAAUGUUGGUGUUUGAAUGCAAGCGUGCAUUUGUCUGUAGUAUAUAAACACACACACACACACCCUGACAUACAUGCAAAUACACAGACACAGUUACACAUAUUGGCACAUAGUUACACACACAUACACUCAGGUUCACACUGACACAGAUACAUAGACAUACACACAUAUACACAGACACACUCAGGUGCAAACUGACACACAGAUACAGACACAUACACACACUGAUACACACAUGCACACACAUAGGAGAUACAGGCACAUGCAUUGACAUACAUGAAAAUAUACAGACACAAUUACACACACAUACAUUCACGUGCACACUAACACCCAGAUACAGACACACAGAUACACACACAGACACAGAUACACACUCAGGUGCAAUCUGGCACCCAAAUAUACACAGACACACACAUAGAUACACACACAUGCACUCUGAUACAUACACACACAUAGGACACAUACAGACACACACUGACAUACAUGUAAAUACACCGACACACAGAUAUACACACUGAAAGAUACAGACACACACACACUCAGGUGCACAUUGACAGAUACAUACAGACACACAAACAGAUACACAUAAAAACAAAAUAUAAAUAAAAUAUAUGUGUAAAAAUGUAGAGAAACAAUAAUAAAGUAAUCAAUUCUAUGGGCAGAUUCACACCAAAUAAACACAGCUUUUUGGUUGAGAAUCUCAGAAAAAAAAGAAAGCGUGAGCGCUCUAGAUAGAUAUAUAUAAUAAAAAAAAAAUUUUUAAAAUGUAUUGCACUAAUUAAACAACACACUUUAAUAAAAAAAAAAUGCAAACGACAGAAAAUGGGCCAUACACAUAAAAUAUAAGACAGGCUAUGCAAGAUAAAAACGUACACAACAUGGGCAGUCUGUAUGUAAAGAGCAAAAAGCCAGGACAGGCAGCGUCAAAUAGAAAAGAUAUACAUUACAACAAAGUUAUCAAAACAAACUAACAAUCUGAUUAAACAUUUAAAUAGAACCCCAACUAAAACUAAAAUAAUUGGGGCAUAUCAACUAAGUAGUGAAAAUUAUUGUGGACAAAAAGUGUACAUAAAAAUCAAAUACAGUCACUAGAAAACCAUGAUCAUAAAAGCUGCAGCACUGCUAUAAAAAAAAAAAAUAAUCAAAGAAUAAAACAAUAACAAAAACAUACACUCAGGUGCACACUGCCAACCAGAUACAAACAAACACAUAGAUACACACAAUGAUACAUCCACAGACACAGACACACAC
This 1589-nucleotide long non-coding RNA is filed under the name Pelobates cultripes (western spadefoot toad). The record is from RNAcentral. Lineage: Eukaryota; Metazoa; Chordata; Amphibia; Anura; Pelobatidae.